Molecule: long non-coding RNA, 2714 nt
Organism: Magnolia sinica
Lineage: Eukaryota; Viridiplantae; Streptophyta; Magnoliopsida; Magnoliales; Magnoliaceae
Exons: 2
Source: RefSeq, a predicted model, not a curated record
CUCUCUCUCUCUCUCUGAUUUCCCCCCUUCUAUUUCCUUUUAAAUUUCUGAUCAUCCCCUUUUCUUCUUCUAGGGUUAGGAUUUUUAUUUCCCAUUUUUGACAUUUUCUCCCUCUCUUUUCUACUCAAGAGGGAAAGAAUGGGUGUUGAUGGUGAUUUCGUCAAUGGGGGCGAUUCGAGCGUCAGCAGCAACAACACAGUCACUGUCCACAUACGAUUCUCGAACAACUCUAAGUUCUCCAUUCAGACGGGCCUCGAUGUGACCAUUAGGGUUUUUAAGAUCAUCCUAGCCGAGAACUGCGAUGUCCCGGCUGAGCAACAACGUCUGAUUUAUAAGGGUGGGAUUUUGAAGGAUGAACAGACCAUGGAAAGCUAUGGUACGCACAAUCCCCGCUCUUUGAUGUUGUCCAUGCAUACUCCGUUCUUCUUUAUUCAUGAUUUUUCAAUAGGGUUUCUGUUAUUAAUCAUUGAAUUCUUAUGCUCGUGUGUGAUCCCUUUCAUCUAAUUGUGGUGGGAUUCUCAUAUUGGCAAGAGUGGUUAUUCAUUUGCACUUGCUUGUCAAUUCCAGGAACAGAUGAACUGUAUUUCUUUCCAAAAAACAAAGAAAGUAUACAAAAAUAGGGAGCUCACCUCAACCGCAAGACAGAUACCAGCCUUCACAUCCAAUCAAACCAAACUAAAACGACUUCGAGUAACAAAAAAAGGAGCUGCACCGUGUGAAUUUAAGGGUCUUAGGCAUGAAUUUGCAUUGUUUCUUAUGUUAUGGUCCACUUUUUUUUAGGUGUUGUGCUCAUACAGUCCAUUAUAGUUGCGGAUCCCACAUCAAAUGUCUAUUAAUCUCAUCAGCAAAUAUUCCUACCUAUCUGUUCUAAAAUUCUGUUACAUGUAUCGCGAUUAGUUAUGGUGUUUGCACCUAUUUCAGCAUAUAGGACUUGACACAUGAUUGUUUCUAGAGGAUUUAAAAGGGAUUUGUCUUGGGCUUCUGUGAUUAUUCUGGGCCCACACGAUCUGUGGGAGAUAUCUAUUUAGAAAACAGUUGGGUUUCAGAGUGUAUUAAGAAUUUUGGUUCUCAUUUUUUGUGUUUAAAGUAAGUGCGAAGUUUUUAAACUAGCUGAUUUGUUUUUAUGGCGAGAUUUUACUCUGCACUGGGUUUCCGGUUUCAUCCAACCGAAGUUGAGCUGGUUAUGUACUACCUUAAAAGACAGAUCAAUUGGAAGCCACUUGUCAAUGUUAAUGCGGUGGUUGAGAUUUACAAGUAUGAGCCUUGGGGUCUUCAAGUAUUGCUUCAUGCUUCAAGAAGAACCUCCCCUGCUCUAAAAAAGCACAAUGUAAGUAUACACGAUGUAGCUUAACUAUAUGGGAAGAGCUCUGCUAUGGCUAUUUGGCAGAGUAGGAUAUGAGUGGAAAUAUAGAAUCCUACUCUCCUCACACACGACAAUGUAGUACCUCUCACAAGGUCCAGGCAAUUCAGCAGUUGGGCAUCACUGUUUAUGUGCCAUGAUCUGAAAAUUAGGCUAUAUGGUCAUCUGGUGGGCCAGACAUGCACACGUGCUGCAAUGGCAUAUGCCACAUUUCUCAUCUGGGAACUCCAAUAUCAUAAUUUUUAGCCCAUGGAACCACCAGUUGAUCUUGAAAAAUGAUUUGUAUGGAUAACAUUCAUAUAUUGGUGCUAUCAUAUUUGCAGAUUAUUCCUUAUUCAUAAAUUGUGGAGGCAGUACAAUGAUUGUUGGGAAGCAAGAAUAUGAAGGUGAAUCAUCAGAAAUGGGACCCUCAGACAUUCUCUUCUACUGAUAGAUGGGCUUACAGUAGCACAGGGGAAGAGCUCUAUUAUGGCUCUUUUUUUUAGUUAAUCAUUCCCUUUCAGGCCACUAAUCAGAUCAGAUGGCUAGCACAGUCUUAUGGCAUUGCCUUUUAGGACAUGGCCCAUACAUGUGGCUAGCACAGUGGUCAGCAAUCAUUGUAUAGGCAUAUGCAAGUGUUUCUUGACAAUAGAGAUGUUUCCAUGCAUAUUCAUGGGACUCCAUAAAGUGAUUGUCAUAUUAGUAUUCCCCUAACUAAAAAACAGUUAGGAUCUAUCAAUAGUUUAUUCAACACUGCAUCCUUCCUUAGGCUGUAACACGGUUUGUAUGUACAUGCUGGUACCUUAAUCCGUUGUACUAAUUUGAUGCUUGUGUUCAUCUGUGUUGCAUGCAUUUGGGUGUUUGCAUGGAUUUUAUUUCUCAAUGAUUUUGUUGAGCCUCCAUACUGAUCUUUUGAUUUUGUACCAAAUGAAGGAAUAGAAUUCAUGUAGCUGACUCCAAUUAGUUAGGACAAGGCGGCGGCGGCGGCGAAUGUGACUGAUCACACGUUGGAGAUCCACUUCUACUGGGCUGGAUGUGAACUACUGCAAGUUUGGUGUUUGGAUGUGAACUACUGCUCUAACUUAUCAAAUGGUUGUGUUAGUCCAAUCCCCUGGCUUUUUGAGUAUGACCUGAUCAUUUUUCUUUUAGUGUGGAAAUGUCUCGUGCUUUUUUGUUUAGAAUCUUCUGUCUCUUGCAGGAUCGAGAUAGUUACUAGAAGAUGAUGCAGAAAUAUAUAGGUUCAUAUGUUACUUCAAUGGUGACGCUGUGGGAAUAUGUUAUUUGGAAUUUAUUUGGUUGGGAUAUGUUAUUCUGAGUGGACUUAUAUUUGUAAGUUUCGCCAAUCUGUAAUGUCAUUUUUGAAUUUCCCACUUCA